AUCAUUUUCAGCCUUUGAUAUAAGAACAAAUGUACUGUCUGUUUUUAUCAGUAUAAUUUAUGAUACGUCAUCUCUUUGAGGAUGAUACAUUAAGUGGAUUUUAGGAGCAGAGAAUUGAAAUAGUGGCUCUGUGUAAUACACAUAUUGAUCUGGCAUUGUAGUAUCUAGUCACAGUGACCCUCAC
Molecule: small nuclear RNA, 184 nt
Organism: Alexandromys fortis (reed vole)
Lineage: Eukaryota; Metazoa; Chordata; Mammalia; Rodentia; Cricetidae
Product: U2 spliceosomal RNA
Exons: 1
Source: RefSeq, a predicted model, not a curated record